CCUCCCUUCACGGCUGGUCAGCACUCAGUGGCUCAGGCUGUGGUCCGAGCUUGCAGCCUAUCCAUUUUACUGUUUUUUAUGGUUUUUUUCUUCAAAGUGAACGCACUCUUCCCAGAGUGCGCAGGGACCUGGACAAGUUCUUCCUUUCCUCUUCGCAGGUUUGCAGCUACCAGGUCUCGGGAUGCCCGAGAACGCAAAGCGCCAGCUAGCACCAGACCUUGGGGGGAUGGGACCCACCUCUACCCCACUCCAGUAGAAGGAAUUCCGGCUGAGUCACAACCAAAUGUAGAUCACGUCACAGAGACCCACAAACCAGAGGACACCUGGACAGACAACGAUUCAGUGAAUGACUAUCAUGGGUACAAUUCCUGGGAAGACGAAGUGGACGACCUGAUUGCCUGGACCAACACUCUCGAUACCGACAACUUGGACUAACUCCGCAUGACUCCAGCCUCUGCCACUGUUCAGCUCUGGGGAGCCACCUAGGAGGCCCUCUGAACUUGGAUUCUGCUUUUCACCUCCUUUCUGCAAGUGCAGAGAGGAAAAUACAAGCCAGCAUAAAUCAGCAACUAUGUCACUCUGAAUGUUUGAGCCCUGUGUCUCUGUUUGGAAUGACGUUAGCGGAGUGAGAGGUGCCAAGCACAGUAGUGCAGUAGAU
This 658-nucleotide long non-coding RNA is filed under the name Cavia porcellus (domestic guinea pig). RNAcentral describes it as "lncRNA (ENSCPOG00000036181.1)". Lineage: Eukaryota; Metazoa; Chordata; Mammalia; Rodentia; Caviidae. The record is from RNAcentral.